This 375-nucleotide ribosomal RNA is filed under the name uncultured Peniculida. Its description in RNAcentral is "partial small subunit ribosomal RNA". It matches the Rfam family "Eukaryotic small subunit ribosomal RNA", at positions 30 to 432 of the family's 1831-position model. The record is from RNAcentral. Lineage: Eukaryota; Ciliophora; Oligohymenophorea; Peniculida.
GCUUGUCUCAAAGAUUAAGCCAUGCAUGUCUUAGUGUAAAUAACUCUUAUGAAACUGCGAAUGGCUCAUUAAAUCAGUUAUCGUUUAUUUGAUGGUCCCUUACUACAUGGAUAACCGUAGUAAUUCUAGAGCUAAUACAUGCACAAAGGCCCGACUCACGAAGGGCUGUAUUUAUUAGAUCUAACCAUCAUUUGGUGAAUCAUAGUAACUGAUCGGACCGUGCGUUAGCGCGGUAAAUCGUUCAAGUUUCUGCCCUAUCAGCUUUCGAUGGUAGUGUAUUGGACUACCAUGGCAGUCACGGGUAACGGAGAAUUAGGGUUCGGUUCCGGAGAGGGAGCCUGAGAAACGGCUACCACAUCUAAGGAAGGCAGCAGG